AGUCGAGGGGCAGCGGGAAGGUUAGCUUGCUAAUCUUUGCCGGCGACCGGCGCACGGGUGAGUAACACGUAUGCAACCUGUCCGGUACAGGGGGAUAAGCGGCGGAAACGCCGUCUAAUACCGCGUGACAACCCGAGGGGGCAUCCCCUUGGGUUCAAAGGAGAGAUCCGGUACCGGCUGGGCAUGCGGCGCAUUAGCUAGUUGGCGGGGCAACGGCCCACCAAGGCGACGAUGCGUAGGGGUUCUGAGAGGAAGGUCCCCCACACUGGAACUGAGACACGGUCCAGACUCCUACGGGAGGCAGCAGUGAGGAAUAUUGGUCAAUGGGCGCAAGCCUGAACCAGCCAAGUCCCGUGAGGGAAGACGGCCCUACGGGUUGUAAACCUCUUUUGCCGGGGAGCAAGCCUGAGCACGUGUGCCCAGGCGGAGAGUACCCGGAGAAAAAGCAUCGGCUAACUCCGUGCCAGCAGCCGCGGUAAUACGGAGGAUGCGAGCGUUAUCCGGAUUUAUUGGGUUUAAAGGGUGCGCAGGCGGGCUGUUAAGCCGGCGGUAAAAAUUCAGGGCUCAACCCUGUCGAGCCGUCGGAACUGGCAGUCUUGAGUGGGCGAGAAGUAUGCGGAAUGCGUGGUGUAGCGGUGAAAUGCAUAGAUAUCAGGAAGAACGCCGAUUGCGAAGGCAGCAUACCGGCGCCCAACUGACGCUGAGGCACGAAAGCGUGGGGA
This 722-nucleotide ribosomal RNA is filed under the name uncultured bacterium. Its description in RNAcentral is "bacterial SSU rRNA". It matches the Rfam family "Bacterial small subunit ribosomal RNA", at positions 60 to 767 of the family's 1533-position model. The record is from RNAcentral.